GAUGAACGCUGGCGGCGUGCCUAAUACAUGCAAGUCGAGCGAACAGACGAUGAGCUUGCUCCUCUGACGUUAGCGGCGGACGGGUGAGUAACACGUGGAUAACCUACCUAUAAGACUGGGAUAACUUCGGGAAACCGGAGCUAAUACCGGAUAAUAUAUUGAACCGCAUGGUUCAAUAGUGAAAGACGGUUUUGCUGUCACUUAUAGAUGGAUCCGCGCCGCAUUAGCUAGUUGGUAAGGUAACGGCUUACCAAGGCAACGAUGCGUAGCCGACCUGAGAGGGUGAUCGGCCACACUGGAACUGAGACACGGUCCAGACUCCUACGGGAGGCAGCAGUAGGGAAUAUUCCGCAAUGGGCGAAAGCCUGACGGAGCAACGCCGCGUGAGUGAUGAAGGUCUUCGGAUCGUAAAACUCUGUUAUUAGGGAAGAACAAAUGUGUAAGUAACUAUGCACGUCUUGACGGUACCUAAUCAGAAAGCCACGGCUAACUACGUG
Molecule: ribosomal RNA, 497 nt
Filed under: uncultured bacterium
Lineage: Bacteria
Description: partial 16S ribosomal RNA
Rfam family: Bacterial small subunit ribosomal RNA
Source: RNAcentral